UUUUCAGUCAUCUUCU
RNAcentral lists this small RNA (16 nucleotides) under Arabidopsis thaliana (thale cress). Its description in RNAcentral is "ATSL243200". Lineage: Eukaryota; Viridiplantae; Streptophyta; Magnoliopsida; Brassicales; Brassicaceae. The record is from RNAcentral.